Molecule: unclassified non-coding RNA, 897 nt
Filed under: Hevea brasiliensis (rubber tree)
Lineage: Eukaryota; Viridiplantae; Streptophyta; Magnoliopsida; Malpighiales; Euphorbiaceae
Source: RNAcentral
GAGUUAUUUUCCUAUUAGGUUUAGGAGCAAUACUCCAUAAAUUGUUCAUAUAUCCUAUGUAAUUUCAACUUUUGGAGAUUUAAUCAAUAAAAUUAUGCAGAAUUUCUCCGUCAAUAUUUGUGUAUUGUGUGUGGAGAUAGUAAUAUUUGAGCCUCACACUAUGUCAAGUAGUAUCAGAAUGGGAAAAUUACCCCAAUUGAGAUGGCUUACCUUGAUGGAUGUCGCGAUCGCAGUGAUUUUUGCAACGAUGAUCGGGGAACUGGAGCUUGCAAUGAUGGAAGUGACAUUUGAAGCAACAGAUGGAUCUCAUAUUUGAGCCCAUAGAAAGACGUUUUGAAGAAAUUGCAGAUCUCCUUAGUGCUCUAGGAACUAAUACAAAAAGGAAUCGGUUUGACAAAAGAAGGCCAAGAGAUGGUGCAACCCAUGCUAAUCCUAUUUAUCGACCAAUUCCUAUACAUAGGCAAUAUGUCCAUAAUGAAGAUUCAGAGGAAGAUGACUAUGAGUCAUAUAGGUUCUACAGACAUUCAUAUAAUGAAAGAUAUAGAAGAAGAGGUGCGUAUCAACCAAUUCUUGUGCAACAAGAGUAUGCCUACAAAGAUACGAAGGAGGAGGACUUUGAACCAAUUAGGUUCAAUAGGAAUCAAUGGAAUGGUGGCUACAAGCAAAGAGGCAUACAUGGAAUAAUGAGAAGAGGUUUUCAAACAAAACUAAAAUUGCAUCUGAAAUUAUAGCCGAACGCAAGGACACCCAACCCAAGCAUCUAUUAGAGGAAAGAGAAGCAACUUGAGUUAGAAACUCAACUUAAGGUUAAGGAGACUAAUGUCGAAGAAUAGAAACUAGAAACUUUGAGUGUAUUUCCUUUUGCUAUGAUUAAAGAUGAAGAGCUUGAGGAAUGUG